GACGAACGCUGGCGGCGUGCUUAACACAUGCAAGUCGAACGCUGAAGCACCAGCUUGCUGGUGUGGAUGAGUGGCGAACGGGUGAGUAAUACGUGAGUAACCUGCCCUUGACUCUGGGAUAAGCCCGGGAAACUGGGUCUAAUACUGGAUGCUACAUGUCACCGCAUGGUGGUGUGUGGAAAGGGUUUACUGGUCUUGGAUGGGCUCACGGCCUAUCAGCUUGUUGGUGAGGUAAUGGCUCACCAAGGCGACGACGGGUAGCCGGCCUGAGAGGGUGACCGGCCACACUGGGACUGAGACACGGCCCAGACUCCUACGGGAGGCAGCAGGGGGGAAUAUUGCACAAUGGGCGAAAGCCUGAUGCAGCGACGCCGCGGGAGGGAUGACGGCCUUCGGGUUGUAAACCUCUUUCAGCAGGGAAGAAGCCACAAGUGACGGUACCUGCAGAAGAAGCGCCGGCUAACUACGUG
This 470-nucleotide ribosomal RNA is filed under the name uncultured bacterium. RNAcentral describes it as "partial 16S ribosomal RNA". It matches the Rfam family "Bacterial small subunit ribosomal RNA", at positions 28 to 507 of the family's 1533-position model. The record is from RNAcentral.